UACGUAGGGUGCGAGCGUUAAUCGGAAUUACUGGGCGUAAAGCGUGCGCAGGCGGUUUUGUAAGUCAGAUGUGAAAUCCCCGGGCUUAACCUGGGAAUGGCAUUUGGGACUGCAAGGCUGGAGUGUGGCAGAGGAGACUGGAAUUCCUGGUGUAGCAGUGAAAUGCGUAGAUAUCAGGAGGAAUACCGAUGGCGAAGGCAGGUCUCUGGGCUGACACUGACGCUCAUGCACGAAAGCGUGGGGAGCAAACAGG
Molecule: ribosomal RNA, 253 nt
Filed under: uncultured bacterium
Lineage: Bacteria
Description: partial 16S ribosomal RNA
Rfam family: Bacterial small subunit ribosomal RNA
Source: RNAcentral